Molecule: ribosomal RNA, 253 nt
Filed under: uncultured bacterium
Lineage: Bacteria
Also listed under: 1 other name
Description: partial 16S ribosomal RNA
Rfam family: Bacterial small subunit ribosomal RNA
Source: RNAcentral
UACGAAGGGGGCUAGCGUUGUUCGGAAUUACUGGGCGUAAAGGGCGCGUAGGCGGCUCUACAAGUCAGGAGUGAAAUCCCCAGGCUCAACCUGGGAAUGGCUUUUGAGACUGUAGGGCUUGAGUACAGGAGAGGUGAGUGGAAUUCCCAGUGUAGAGGUAAAAUUCGUAGAUAUUGGGAGGAACACCAGUGGCGAAGGCGGCUCACUGGCCUGUAACUGACGCUGAGGCGCGAAAGCGUGGGGAGCAAACAGG